Molecule: small nuclear RNA, 104 nt
Filed under: Marchantia polymorpha subsp. ruderalis
Lineage: Eukaryota; Viridiplantae; Streptophyta; Marchantiopsida; Marchantiales; Marchantiaceae
Source: RNAcentral
GCAUACCUUUGUGUACAUCCGAUGAAAUUGGAACUAUACAGAGAAGAUUAGCAUGGCCCGCACAAAUCGAGAAACGAUCAUAGGGAGAGGCCCCGUAAAGGCAA